GAUGAAGAACGUAGCGAAAUGCGAUAAGUAAUGUGAAUUGAAGAAUUCAGUGAAUCAUCGAAUCUUUGAACGCACAUUGCGCCCGGUAGUAUUCUGCCGGGCAUGCCUGUUCGAGCGUCAUUUCAACCAUCAAGCCCCAGCGCUUGUGUUGGGGGCCUGCGGCUGCCGCAGCCCCCUAAAAGCAGUGGCGGGCUCGCUAUCACACCGAGUGCAGUAGUUCAUCUUCUCUCCGGUCUUGUGAGGCGGGUUCCGGCCGUGAAACACCCCACUACAUUCAAGGUUGACCUCGGAUCAGGUAGGAAUACCCGCUGAACUUAAGCAUAUCAAUAAGCGGAGGA
Molecule: unclassified non-coding RNA, 338 nt
Filed under: soil metagenome
Description: partial contains 5.8S ribosomal RNA, internal transcribed spacer 2, and large subunit ribosomal RNA
Rfam family: 5.8S ribosomal RNA (bases 1-120)
Source: RNAcentral